RNAcentral lists this ribosomal RNA (570 nucleotides) under uncultured Gammaproteobacteria bacterium. Its description in RNAcentral is "bacterial SSU rRNA". It matches the Rfam family "Bacterial small subunit ribosomal RNA", at positions 812 to 1381 of the family's 1533-position model. The record is from RNAcentral. Lineage: Bacteria; Pseudomonadati; Pseudomonadota; Gammaproteobacteria.
UCGAUUUGGAGUUUGUUGCCUAGAGUGAUGGGCUCCGAAGCUAACGCGAUAAAUCGACCGCCUGGGGAGUACGGCCGCAAGGUUAAAACUCAAAUGAAUUGACGGGGGCCCGCACAAGCGGUGGAGCAUGUGGUUUAAUUCGAUGCAACGCGAAGAACCUUACCUGGUCUUGACAUCCACAGAAUCUUGCAGAGAUGUGAGAGUGCCUUCGGGAACUGUGAGACAGGUGCUGCAUGGCUGUCGUCAGCUCGUGUUGUGAAAUGUUGGGUUAAGUCCCGCAACGAGCGCAACCCUUAUCCUUUGUUGCCAUCGGUUAGGCCGGGAACUCAAAGGAGACUGCCGUUGAUAAAGCGGAGGAAGGUGGGGACGACGUCAAGUCAUCAUGGCCCUUACGACCAGGGCUACACACGUGCUACAAUGGCGUAUACAAAGGGAGGCGACCUCGCGAGAGCAAGCGGACCUCAUAAAGUACGUCUAAGUCCGGAUUGGAGUCUGCAACUCGACUCCAUGAAGUCGGAAUCGCUAGUAAUCGUGAAUCAGAAUGUCACGGUGAAAUACGUUCCCGGGCCU